This is a non-coding RNA of Aedes albopictus (Asian tiger mosquito), 98 nucleotides long. The record is from Rfam. Lineage: Eukaryota; Metazoa; Arthropoda; Insecta; Diptera; Culicidae.
UAACCAGGAACUCCUAUCCCUACCUCCCCGCGGUACUGACCGGGAUACGAUCAGUCCCAAUCACCGUGGGAACUUUGGUCGUAUGCUGACAGGGAAGG